Ostrea edulis (European flat oyster) is the source of this 4405-nucleotide RNA transcript. It is a transcript of the gene named galactoside alpha-(1,2)-fucosyltransferase 1-like, with no coding region annotated. The record is from RefSeq and is a predicted model, not a curated record. NCBI's taxonomy places the organism in Eukaryota, Metazoa, Mollusca, Bivalvia, Ostreida, Ostreidae. The transcript has 3 exons.
CUUAUGUAAAUGCUGCAGGUGAUAAUUACAAUAAAUAUGCAUCUUACAUGUAUUUAUUUCAACUCAUAUUAAAACUAUGAAAUUGUUUUGAUGUUUAUUAGUGAAUUUAUUCUACAUAGAAUGAUAGUACUGUUGCUUUGGAGAUGUUUUUAUUACUUUCUAUUUGAAAUAACUUGUAUAUUCAUUCUCUGUAAGCGUAUGUUAAAAACACGGGAAAUGUAACCCAUCCGAUGUAAACUGUGCAUUGUGACGUCGAUACCUGCAACGUCUUUAUUUUUUCUCCUUUCAAACGAAGCGAUUAUCAAACAACAAAACUUUCUUACUUUUUAUAUUAUAAGAAAUAACUUAACUAAUUGAGAAAUUAACAGCAAGUGCUGCUUUUCAGAAUACACACUUUUUGAUUUCUCUUAAAUUAACAUCCACAUUACAUACAUGUAGUAGCAUUUUAGAUUUAUGUGCACUAACACAAUAUAGGCCUACAUGUUAUGAAAUUCAUAGCAUUAUAUAUUAUGAUAUUAAUAGGCUUAGUGGUUUGUGAAUUAAAUUUACGUGCUGUAAGACUGAAAAUUAACAGGGGAAGGGGAGGGAUGGGGGGGGGGGGGGGGGGGGGGGGGGGGGGGGUGGUUGGGUUGGGUUACAUGUAUCAUAGAGACUUUGGGCCUUAAUGACUAUUUUUAAAAAAAAGAUAAUUAAAACAUAAGGGAUUUUUUUCAUUUGUAUUGUAUUUUAUUCGUAUAGUUCUAAACAUAUUUUCACUUUACCCUGUGUCUGGUUAUAACUGACAAGUCUUUGUUUCCAUCGUCUGUCAUUAUUACUGAUACAUAAGCGCUUGACAUAUUCCGAAAUUGGAAACAAAAUAGUCUCUUUUUAGAUACUACAUGAAUAAACCACGUGAUGCCUUGCAAUCACUAUACCUUAAGUAGUCCAGUAUUAGCAUCAUAGUUCAGAUACUAUAUAUCUAAUCAUUAUGUAUUGUAGUCUACUGCUAGUUAUGUCAGUUUAAUCCAGAUUUAAAAAAUCAUUAACAACACCAUACCCACUAAUCAAUUCAUGCAUGGAUUUAGAUAACUAGUAUUUAGAGUUGGUCAGUAUUUAAAUGGCCAGAUAUAAUUGAAUUAGAAAUAGUGAUUGGACUUGUUAAAUGAGCUGACUCUGUGGAUAUUUAUAGUGUGAUCUUAUAUCAAGGUGAAAUGGUGUACACAGUGUAUACAUAUAUAUAGAUCAGGUGUAUUUGCCAACUGGAUUGUGUAUAUAUGUGUCAUUUCAACUAGCUGGAUAUUAAAGGCAAAUAUGAAAUUACACUAUUACUGAUCUGAUCUGUCUCGUACUAGUAUUAGUUAAUUAUCAUUGAAUUUCUUUCUCUGCCCAUGCCACUGUAUAUCAUGUAAGAUUGUGUUAUCACAACUAAAUGUAAAUGAUCUUUAUCUGUUAGGUAUUGGGUUCAGCUGUAGUUUAUUCAAUAGGUGUAAUACCCCACCUAAUUAUAUGUGACAAAUGUAUGAAAUGGCAAUAUACAUUACAAGUGUAAGUGAUUUUUAUGUAUAUAUUGUACAAAAAAAAGUGUGAAAUUUCAUGUACAGUACAAUGUCAAUUUCCAUUUUGUACCUUCAGUUUUGAUUAGAACUUUUGAUUACAGAAGCCUAGUGGUUAGGACGAUACUUUUCAUCUGUGAGGUCUAAUGGUUCCAUUCUGGGAUCUGAACUCUGUCAAACCUAAAACUAAUGGUUCCAUUCUGGAAUCUGAACUCUGUCAAACCUAAGACAGUUAACAUAAGAGAACAUCACCAUGGAUGCAAUGGCCUGAUAUAAAAUCUGAGGAGCUGGAGGAUCCAGUGCAAUCAAUGAAGACUGUGACUCAGGAUAUCUCUAGAGAACGUGGAAUAUCAUGGAGGUCACAAGUAUAUCCCCAUAUUGAGAAAAAACAGCAACCAGUUACCUUUAAACUCACUAUGAAUUUUGUAGAGGAAUUGAUAAAGAGUACGGUACAAAGCAUGUGACCAUUGAAGAAAUGUCCCGAGAAGCUCUUAGUGGAGAAUAUGAAAAUUGGAAUUCAGAGGCUGAUGAUGAGCUUUAACAAAGUGAAAAAAGGUCACCCGAAUAUCUGCACGUAAUUGUUGAUUCUUUUAAUAUAGAAAGAACGCUAACCAGCUUUGCUUGUUAUAUGUAAGAAACAGUACUGUUUUCUACAAGAUUAGGUAGUUCGUAUGUAGCAGGGGCCAGGAUUUUAUGCUGCUUUUAUCAAUCAGUUGGACUUUGAGGAAAUGGUCGAAACGAGGACAAAAUACUGCUGGUCUGUGGUGCCAAUAUGGAGAAAAUGUAUGUUCGUCUUUCCCGUUUUCUCUCUCGUCUGUAUGACGUAUUAUUUUUUUUCUAACUAUUUGAUGUCUACGAAUGUUUAUGACUCCAACGGAAGAUUCCGAGGUAUGGUUGCUACUGAUGUCUAUAGAUAUCAACCGUCAGGUACCGCCAAGUUUUCUACAGACCACGUGACUAUUUCAAAAAUUACCAUGCUAUUCAAUAGCAGGGAAAGUACUGAGACGUUCCGAAACUCGCACAUCAUGAUCUGCACCGGGAACGGGCGUUUGGGUAACAAAAUGUUUGAGUUCGCUUCUCUCCUUGGGAUCGCCAAGCGUCACAAUUAUAAACCGAUGAUAUUACGCGGGAAUUCUUUAUUGCAAGUGUUUGACAUUAACCAGGUGACCAACACACAACCAAAGAACAUAAAGGGUGUUGGUGAGCGAGGAGCUGGGGUGUAUGACAAGUCUUUAGAGAGCUUGAAACAUGACAUGAACUAUUCGUUGGGAGGGUUCUACCAGAGUUGGAAAUAUUUCGAUUUUAUUAGAGACGAAGUGAGAAAAUCGUUCAAAUUCAGAGCCAGCCACUUUGACAAAGCUCGGCAAACGCAGAUAUCGCUGAAUGUUGGUGACAAACUGACUGUGGGAGUGCACGUGCGUAGAGGCGACAUGAACAGUAAGAGAGAACUGUCACGUGGCUAUAAUGUUGCCACUAAAGAAUACUUUACCAAGGCCUUUCAAUAUUUCAGGGAUAGAUUCAAACAUCUGAUGUUUUUAGUUGUUAGUGACGAUUUAACAUGGUGUAAAAACAACAUGAAAGGUGACGAUGUGAAAUAUGUAUCCACCGGAAGUGCGGGAAGCGAUAUGGCGUUCCUUGCGCAGUGUAACCAUAGCAUCGUUUCCACCGGAAGUUUUGGGUGGUGGGGUGCCUAUCUUGCUGGUGGGGAAGUUGUCUAUUACCGGAAUUUCCCCUCCAACAACAGCUGGUUGUUAAAACAAUACAACAGGACUGAAUACUACCCCCCGCGGUGGGUCGGCAUGGAGUGAGGUGGAUUUCAUUAACGUCCCCAAUUUUCUUAUUGAUAUGUAUUGAUAUAUUUUUUUCCAUUGUUUUUGAAUUAUUAUAUUGAAUACAAUAUUUAUUUACUUGUGAUUAACCUAUACCAGUUUGUUCACUUUAACCAAUUCCAUACAUUACCACCAAGAAUACAUUCCAGAACCAGUUACCUGUUUACAAAUAACGGUAGUAUAUUUAUGACACCUUUCUUAUUAUAUACUUAUGUAAUUUUUAUCUGUUUCUUGCAUGGAAAUUCUCUCUGAGUCUUCAGUUGUAUUCAUUCUUACACGGCCACCAUCCCUGUUUGGUGAUUGCAACACAGAAUGGUAUACAUGUACUAUUUUUACAGCUUCAAUGUGGAAACUUUAUUUAUUAUUGUAAAUCUUAACCGGCUCAUUUUAUAAGUACAUGUAUGUGCAUUUACAGCGUUUCCCCCAGAUUCAAAACAAGAGGCUUCGCUAGUAAGAUCCCAUCGUGGAAAUCCGAGUGUUAUAUUCGGUAACAUGUUCAAAAUAUGUACAACCAAACUUUCAAUACAGGACUGAACUAUUAAGUAUAUAUUGAACAAGUUGAAUUUCAGUCACGCAAAAGCAAUUUCCUCAGACCUACCCAGUUUCUUCUCUUUUUUAUUAUCACUGAGAUUUGUUUCAGAAUUUCAUUAUGGAAACGUGACAUUGAAGAAUAACCCCUUGAUUUACUAGCAUUUUAAAGCGAAUAUUUUAUUACAUGAGGCAUAUUUUCUGUGGAAAACUCAUUGGUUACAGUUUCUCUUUCAAAUUUGAUUGUGCUGUUUUCCUUCUAUGUUAAGUAUACGUAUGUAAGAUAUUGUAAUGUGCCAUCUGCCAUGUGUUAUUUCCUAAUAACAUUGCUUGUGUUAAAAAUUAUAAUUCCGUUGUGUUUUUCCGUUGGACAACUUUCUUCCAGUGCAUUUUGCAGGUGAUAUUUUCUUGGAAAGCAUUCCAUUUUAACAUACUAUGUUGCUGAUCAUCAAUUUGUAUAAUGAAAAUAUUGGUUUCUUUUAAUAAAUAAAUUUUUAUUGAUUUUAUUUCCACUCA